RNAcentral lists this ribosomal RNA (406 nucleotides) under uncultured bacterium. RNAcentral describes it as "partial 16S ribosomal RNA". It matches the Rfam family "Bacterial small subunit ribosomal RNA", at positions 356 to 762 of the family's 1533-position model. The record is from RNAcentral.
UGGGGAUAUUGCACAAUGGGCGCAAGCCUGAUGCAGCGACGCCGCGUGAGGGAUGACGGCUUUCGGGUUGUAAACCUCUUUCGCUACUGAACAAGGCCCUGCUUGUUGUGGGGUUGAGGGUAGGUGGAUAAGAAGCGCCGGCUAACUACGUGCCAGCAGCCGCGGUAAUACGUAGGGCGCGAGCGUUGUCCGGAAUUAUUGGGCGUAAAGAGCUCGUAGGCGGCUUGUCGCGUCUGCUGUGAAAACGCGGGCUUAACUCCGCGCGUGCAGUGGGUACGGGCAGGCUAGAGUGUGGUAGGGGUGAUUGGAAUUCCUGGUGUAGCGGUGGAAUGCGCAGAUAUCAGGAGGAACACCGAUGGCGAAGGCAGGUCACUGGGCCAUUACUGACGCUGAGGAGCGAAAGCAU